RNAcentral lists this long non-coding RNA (208 nucleotides) under Mytilus galloprovincialis (Mediterranean mussel). Lineage: Eukaryota; Metazoa; Mollusca; Bivalvia; Mytilida; Mytilidae. The record is from RNAcentral.
GUCAAUUUUAAGAACUUCAAAAGAAAUACUUGAGAUUAGGAUCCGAAAGUCCAACAACGAGUUCAAAGAAGUACUUAAAUAUAGAUUUGGUUUGAGAAUUUUUGUGUCUAAGUGACGAAAGACAUCUAAGAGGCAAUUGUAUCAAAGUGUCGUGAUUUCCUUUUAUGGCUGGGUUGCGAAGAAGAUAUGUUUAAUCUAUGAAUCUGGG